UCGGUUAAAUAUUUUGAACAGUCACUAUCUUGUUAAACUUAAAAUACUUGUACCUUCCUUCUGAACAGCGGGAAUAUUCUUCCAUUUAUGCUCCUGCACGAAUCGUCCUUUCAGUGCACAGAAUGCAACGAAAUAAUACGUCGAGAAGAAGCAGAAGACAGAUGUAUGCACUGUAUGCCGAAGCAACCGGAGCAGGGAUUUGGAAUGGUUUACUGAGGAGCCGUCUGGUGGCGUUAAAAGAGUCGUAGAACUGAGCCAAAUGCAAAUGCCAGGCGACACGUGAGGCCCGCCCAUUGGCACGCCCCUUUUGGCAUCCAAUUUGCCAUUUAUUCAAUUUAAAUAUUCACACCAUUGUGUAAAGCGAACUCGUAUUAAAAAUAUCUGAGAUGGAAUAUCCGAGCUAGUAGACGCCGCUGAUGGCAUAAUAAGCCAAGGUGGAGUACAAAAGCCAGGAAAAUAGCAAAAUAAAGCGCAUUCGAGUAAAAUUGAACAAAAGUCAACAUAUCGCAAAAUGAAAUAAAUAUUUUUAUUAUUAUGUAAAUGGCACAAUGGAAUGAAAUUCAAUUAUAUUAAAUUUGUAUGCACAAAACGAGAAGAAUAGGACAACGUAUUUUCAUAUCUACCAUGCAAUUAUCGUAUUGUUUUU
Non-coding RNA from Drosophila melanogaster (fruit fly), 646 nucleotides. Lineage: Eukaryota; Metazoa; Arthropoda; Insecta; Diptera; Drosophilidae. The record is from Ensembl.